UACGUAGGGCGCAAGCGUUGUCCGGAAUUAUUGGGCGUAAAGAGCUCGUAGGCGGCUUGUCACGUCGAUUGUGAAAGCCCGAGGCUUAACCUCGGGUCUGCAGUCGAUACGGGCUAGCUAGAGUGUGGUAGGGGAGAUCGGAAUUCCUGGUGUAGCGGUGAAAUGCGCAGAUAUCAGGAGGAACACCAGUGGCGAAGGCGGUUCUCUGGGCAUUACCUGACGCUGAGGAGCGAAAGUGUGGGGAGCGAACAGG
This 253-nucleotide ribosomal RNA is filed under the name uncultured bacterium. RNAcentral's name for it is "partial 16S ribosomal RNA". It matches the Rfam family "Bacterial small subunit ribosomal RNA", at positions 524 to 776 of the family's 1533-position model. The record is from RNAcentral.